This 73-nucleotide transfer RNA is filed under the name Camelus bactrianus (Bactrian camel). It matches the Rfam family "tRNA". From Rfam's summary of the family: Transfer RNA (tRNA) molecules are approximately 80 nucleotides in length. Their secondary structure includes four short double-helical elements and three loops (D, anti-codon, and T loops). RNAcentral also lists the same sequence under 2 other names. Lineage: Eukaryota; Metazoa; Chordata; Mammalia; Artiodactyla; Camelidae. The record is from Rfam by way of RNAcentral.
GAGGGUAUUGCUCAAAUGGUAGAGCACAUGCUUAGCGUGCAUGAGGUCCUGGGUUCAAUCCCCAGUGCCUCCC